RNAcentral lists this ribosomal RNA (468 nucleotides) under uncultured bacterium. Its description in RNAcentral is "partial 16S ribosomal RNA". It matches the Rfam family "Bacterial small subunit ribosomal RNA", at positions 28 to 507 of the family's 1533-position model. The record is from RNAcentral.
GACGAACGCUGGCGGCGUGCUUAACACAUGCAAGUCGAACGGAAAGGCCCUGCUUUUGUGGGGUGCUCGAGUGGCGAACGGGUGAGUAACACGUGAGUAACCUGCCCUUGACUUUGGGAUAACUUCAGGAAACUGGGGCUAAUACCGGAUAGGAGCUCCUGCUGCAUGGUGGGGGUUGGAAAGUUUCGGCGGUUUGGGAUGGACUCGCGGCUUAUCAGCUUGUUGGUGGGGUAGUGGCUUACCAAGGCUUUGACGGGUAGCCGGCCUGAGAGGGUGACCGGCCACAAUGGGACUGAGAUACGGCCCAGACUCCUACGGGAGGCAGCAGUGGGGAAUAUUGCACAAUGGGCGGAAGCCUGAUGCAGCAACGCCGCGUGCGGGAUGACGGCCUUCGGGUUGUAAACCGCUUUCGCCUGUGACGAAGCGUGAGUGACGGUAAUGGGUAAAGAAGCACCGGCUAACUACGUG